RNAcentral lists this ribosomal RNA (344 nucleotides) under uncultured eukaryote. RNAcentral describes it as "SSU rRNA". It matches the Rfam family "Eukaryotic small subunit ribosomal RNA", at positions 594 to 945 of the family's 1831-position model. The record is from RNAcentral.
AAAAUGCAUAGAACCAUUGCUGCGGUUAAAAAGCUCGUAGUUGGAUCUGUGCCGGCGACGUGGUCCACCCGAAAGGGCGGCACUGCGCUCGUUGGCUUUGGGCCGGUCUUCGUGCGGUCGCCUUCAUCGGUGGCCGUGCGUGGCUGGCUGGUUUACUUUGAGCAAAUCAGAGUGCUCAGCACAGGCGUUUCGCCGGAAUGUUCGUGCAUGGAAUAAUAGAAAAGGAUUUCGGUCCUCUUUUAUUGGUUUUGUGGACUGAGAUAAUGGUUAACAGAGACGAACGGGGGCAUUCGUAUUGCUGCGUGAGAGGUGAAAUUCUUGGACCGCAGCAGGACGGACUACAG